GCAAGAGCCACUGGUGCAGCUGCAUGCACAAACAUUCCCCAGAUGGAGUUUCUAAGUGGAAAGUGAUGAUGUCACUAGGGAAUUCAGACAUAAGAGUAUCAAAUGUGGCAAUCUCAAUCUUAUGGUUAAUUUUCAACAGCUGACUGCCUAAUGUCUGUGUUGCCACGACCUACUAUUAUGAAAUCAGUGUAUGGAAAUUAAUGUUAGUCAUUAAUAUGGAAAAGAGUGAUUUUAAGCAACAGAACAUUGUUGUGUUAUCUUACACCAGAGUUGAGAAGAAUACGUAGUUACAGAUGGGGUUUUAAAACAGCUAAAUGCCUGGAACAGCAAUAGCAAGAAAACCUUGUUUCUGUGUAUAAGGAAUCAGGUAGUGGUGAUUCAGGACCUGAAUGGUGCCCAUGUUUCUCCAAGCACCUGAAUCAUCCAAGGUGGGAGUCAGCUGGCUGGAAUGCUGGCGUUUACUUAGAAUCACAUUUUAAAGUCAAGUGACACACCUUCAAAAGCCCCCACAGGGAUUAACUAACAUAUAGAGAUCCAAGCUGUAAAAUAGAGCUCAGCUGAAUUACACAGGAAAAAUACAAC
Molecule: long non-coding RNA, 582 nt
Organism: Passer domesticus (house sparrow)
Lineage: Eukaryota; Metazoa; Chordata; Aves; Passeriformes; Passeridae
Exons: 3
Source: RefSeq, a predicted model, not a curated record